AUACUUACCUGGCAGGGGAGAUACCAUGAUCACGAAGCGGGUUUUCCCAGGGCGCGGCUUAUCCAUUGCACUCCAGAUGUGCUGACCCCUGCGAUUUCCCCAAAUGUGGGAAACUCGACUGCAUAAUUUGUGAUAGUGGGGGACUAUGUUCGCACUUUUCCCUG
Molecule: small nuclear RNA, 164 nt
Filed under: Saimiri boliviensis boliviensis (Bolivian squirrel monkey)
Lineage: Eukaryota; Metazoa; Chordata; Mammalia; Primates; Cebidae
Description: U1 spliceosomal RNA (ENSSBOG00000010952.1)
Rfam family: U1 spliceosomal RNA
About the family: U1 is a small nuclear RNA (snRNA) component of the spliceosome (involved in pre-mRNA splicing). Its 5' end forms complementary base pairs with the 5' splice junction, thus defining the 5' donor site of an intron.
Source: Rfam by way of RNAcentral